UACGAAGGGGGCUAGCGUUGUUCGGAAUUACUGGGCGUAAAGCGCACGUAGGCGGACAUUUAAGUCAGGGGUGAAAUCCCAGAGCUCAACUCUGGAACUGCCUUUGAUACUGGGUGUCUAGAGUAUGGAAGAGGUGAGUGGAAUUCCGAGUGUAGAGGUGAAAUUCGUAGAUAUCGAGUGGAACACCGGUGGCGAAGGCGGCUUUCUGGACAGGUACUGACGCUGAGACGCGAAAGCGUGGGGAGCAAACAGG
This 253-nucleotide ribosomal RNA is filed under the name uncultured bacterium. Its description in RNAcentral is "partial 16S ribosomal RNA". It matches the Rfam family "Bacterial small subunit ribosomal RNA", at positions 524 to 776 of the family's 1533-position model. The record is from RNAcentral.